This 433-nucleotide ribosomal RNA is filed under the name uncultured bacterium. RNAcentral's name for it is "partial 16S ribosomal RNA". It matches the Rfam family "Bacterial small subunit ribosomal RNA", at positions 29 to 507 of the family's 1533-position model. The record is from RNAcentral.
AACGAACGCUGGCGGCUUGCCUAACACAUGCAAGUCGAACGAGACCUUCGGGUCUAGUGGCGCACGGGUGCGUAACGCGUGGGAACCUGCCCUUAGGUUCGGAAUAACUCCCCGAAAGGGGUGCUAAUACCGGAUAAUGUCUUCGGACCAAAGAUUUAUCGCCUUUGGAUGGGCCCGCGUUGGAUUAGCUAGUUGGUAGGGUAAAAGCCUACCAAGGCGACGAUCCAUAGCUGGUCUGAGAGGAUGAUCAGCCACACUGGGACUGAGACACGGCCCAGACUCCUACGGGAGGCAGCAGUGGGGAAUAUUGGACAAUGGGCGAAAGCCUGUUCCAGCAAUGCCGCGUGAGUGAUGAAGGCCUUAGGGUUGUAAAGCUCUUUUACCCGGGAUGAUAAUGACAGUACCGGGAGAAUAAGCUCCGGCUAACUCCGUG